AUACGUAGGGAGCGAGCGUUGUCCGGAAUUACUGGGCGUAAAGGGCGCGUAGGCGGGAUAUUAAGUCAGGUGUGAAACCGUAGGGCUUAACUUUACGAUUGCACAUGAAACUAAUAUUCUUGAGGACAGGAGAGGAAAGCGGAAUUCCUAGUGUAGCGGUGAAAUGCGUAGAUAUUAGGAGGAACACCAGUGGCGAAGGCGGCUUUCUGGACUGUAACUGACGCUGAGGCGCGAAAGCGUGGGUAGCGAACGGGAUUAGAUACCCCGGUAGUCCACGCCGUAAACGAUGGGUACUAGGUGUAGGAGGUAUCGACCCCUUCUGUGCCGGAGUUAACGCAAUAAGUACCCCGCCUGGGGAGUACGGCCGCAAGGUUGAA
This 377-nucleotide ribosomal RNA is filed under the name uncultured bacterium. Its description in RNAcentral is "bacterial SSU rRNA". It matches the Rfam family "Bacterial small subunit ribosomal RNA", at positions 523 to 898 of the family's 1533-position model. The record is from RNAcentral.